GCAGAGAACCAGAAAGUAAGCAUAAAGGUGAGAAACAACUGAAUGCUGUUCUUUGGCUUAGUUCAAUUUGUAGAGAUAGUGCUCAUUUUAACUCUGGCUGUCACUCUUUGGGAGCUGACAUUACUAAUACAAUCACGUUGCAUUGUAUUAUUCUGAUGUUGCUUAAAUAAUUUCUAAUCUACAGUUGUUUACAGAUAAUGGAAAUCCUUUCCAGAGCUAAAGAGCUUUUAUUUGAAAUUUAAAAAUACAUACAAAUUCAUAAAAGAUGGUUUCAACCUAGCACAUGUAGCUGGGAUCCUAAUUGAAAAGUAACGUAAAAUCUGUAUAUAUUAUUGAGUUUUGAUAUUCUCCAAUCAAGGAGAAGAGAUAAGAGAGUGGAGGAGUGCAGUGAUGUGGCAAUGUCUGUGACAGCAGCGGGAUAGGUCACAAUGGGGGGGAAUGUGUCAGGAGGCUAUAAAAGAGGCAGUGCUGUGGCCUGGGCCUUUGCUUAUGGCAUGCACCUGCUAGUGGCUGUGGCUUGGGUGGUCUUCAUCACUCAAGUUAGCUUCAGGUUGUCUCUUAUAGCCUAUGACAGAGACUAGAAGUGAUGAUGAACAGAAAUAAUACAGCUGCUCAUUUUAUACUGGAGCUGGUAAGCUUUUCACUUUUAAGAAGGAAGAAGAAAGUUGUCUCAGUAAAUAUUGGAUGAAAGCCAUUAGGGUUUGCUUUAUUGCUAUUACCAACAUUAUGUUAACUGAAGAACUAAAAUAAAUUAUUAAAGCCAUAAUUCA
RNAcentral lists this long non-coding RNA (770 nucleotides) under Numida meleagris (helmeted guineafowl). RNAcentral's name for it is "lncRNA (ENSNMEG00000010501.1)". The record is from RNAcentral. Lineage: Eukaryota; Metazoa; Chordata; Aves; Galliformes; Numididae.